Molecule: unclassified non-coding RNA, 260 nt
Filed under: air metagenome
Description: partial contains small subunit ribosomal RNA, internal transcribed spacer 1, and 5.8S ribosomal RNA
Rfam family: Eukaryotic small subunit ribosomal RNA (bases 1-46)
Source: RNAcentral
AAGUCGUAACAAGGUCUCCGUUGGUGAACCAGCGGAGGGAUCAUUAUAGAGUUAUUAAAACUCCCAAACCCAUGUGAACUUACCAAUGUUGCCUCGGCGGUACCUACCCUGUAGCUACCCUGGAACGGUGUUACCCUAUAGCGCCUACCCAGAAGCCACCCUGUAGCGUACCGCCGGUGGAUUUUAAACUAUUAUUUAAUGUUAUCUGAGCGUCUUAUUUUAAUAAGUCAAAACUUUCAACAACGGAUCUCUUGGUUCUG